This 433-nucleotide ribosomal RNA is filed under the name uncultured bacterium. RNAcentral's name for it is "partial 16S ribosomal RNA". It matches the Rfam family "Bacterial small subunit ribosomal RNA", at positions 29 to 507 of the family's 1533-position model. The record is from RNAcentral.
AACGAACGCUGGCGGCAUGCCUAACACAUGCAAGUCGAACGAGACCUUCGGGUCUAGUGGCGCACGGGUGCGUAACGCGUGGGAACCUGCCCUUAGGUUCGGAAUAACUCCCCGAAAGGGGUGCUAAUACCGGAUAAUGUCUUCGGACCAAAGAUUUAUCGCCUUUGGAUGGGCCCGCGUGGGAUUAGCUAGUUGGUAGGGUAAAAGCCUACCAAGGCGACGAUCCAUAGCUGGUCUGAGAGGAUGAUCAGCCACACUGGGACUGAGACACGGCUCAGACUCCUACGGGAGGCAGCAGUGGGGAAUAUUGGAAAAUGGGCGAAAGCCUGAUCCAGCAAUGCCGCGUGAGUGAUGAAGGCCUUAGGGUUGUAAAGCUCUUUUACCCGGGAUGAUAAUGACAGUACCGGGAGAAUAAGCUCCGGCUAACUCCGUG